Molecule: ribosomal RNA, 448 nt
Filed under: uncultured bacterium
Lineage: Bacteria
Description: bacterial SSU rRNA
Rfam family: Bacterial small subunit ribosomal RNA
Source: RNAcentral
ACUCCUACGGGAGGCAGCAGUAGGGAAUCUUCCACAAUGGGCGCAAGCCUGAUGGAGCAACACCGCGUGAGUGAAGAAGGGUUUCGGUCUCGUAAAGCUCUGUUGUUAAAGAAGAACACGUAUGAGAGUAACUGUUCAUACGUUGACGGUAUUUAACCAGAAAGUCACGGCUAACUACGUGCCAGCAGCCGCGGUAAUACGUAGGUGGCAAGCGUUAUCCGGAUUUAUUGGGCGUAAAGAGAGUGCAGGCGGUUUUCUUAAGUCUGAUGUGAAAGCCUUCGGCUUAACCGGAGAAGUGCAUCGGAAACUGGAUAACUUGAGUGCAGAAGAGGGUAGUGGAACUCCAUGUGUAGCGGUGGAAUGCGUAGAUAUAUGGAAGAACACCAGUGGCGAAGGCGGCUACCUGGUCUGCAACUGACGCUGAGACUCGAAAGCAUGGGGUAGCGAA